Small nucleolar RNA from Seriola dumerili (greater amberjack), 141 nucleotides. NCBI's taxonomy places the organism in Eukaryota, Metazoa, Chordata, Actinopteri, Carangiformes, Carangidae. The record is from Ensembl.
GCAUGGCUGAAUUCUGUGUUACUCUUGAAAUAGUAAAUGCAGUCAGACACCAUGCUAAAUUAUUGGUUUCACACACUGACUCAACAACAGGAGAAUAGUGCUGUUCAUGUGCCUCAUUCUUAUGUCAGAGUGACUACAGCA